RNAcentral lists this small RNA (390 nucleotides) under Pan troglodytes (chimpanzee). Its description in RNAcentral is "processed transcript". Lineage: Eukaryota; Metazoa; Chordata; Mammalia; Primates; Hominidae. The record is from RNAcentral.
AGGGGCUUCAGACAAAGGUGAGCUUGUGGUUCUGAAACUUUUAUUCUCCCCUACUGCCCAAGUCUGUCCACUACCUCCAAUGGUGAGUCACGGAGAUUUCGUCUGCCACCCGCGGCCUUGUGAGCGCUACAACCACGGAACUGUGGUGGAGUUUUACUGCGAUCCUGGCUACAGCCUCACCAGCGACUACAAGUAUAUCACCUGCCAGUAUGGAGAGUGGUUUCCUUCUUAUCAAGUCUACUGCAUCAAAUCAGAGCAAACAUGGCCCAGCACCCAUGAGACCCUCCUGACCACGUGGAAGAUUGUGGCAUUCACGGCAACCAGUGUGCUGCUGGUGCUGCUGCUCGUCAUCCUGGCCAGGAUGUUCCAGACCAAGUUCAAGGCCCACUU